RNAcentral lists this long non-coding RNA (219 nucleotides) under Apteryx rowi (Okarito brown kiwi). Its description in RNAcentral is "lncRNA (ENSARWG00000016807.1)". Lineage: Eukaryota; Metazoa; Chordata; Aves; Apterygiformes; Apterygidae. The record is from RNAcentral.
GGGCUUUUCCCCCCUGCUCUUGGCGCUGAAGACUGGAGCCUCCCCCGCUUCCAAAUGUUAUGGUGCAUAUUGACUCCACGGACUACCCAGACAAGUAAUGCUGUGGGGUGAAAGAUCAGUCUCUGAUUUACCUGGUAGUCAAAGUGACUAUGGAAGGCUGAAACCAUGUACUGCAAUUGUUUYUAUUUAACAACUCUUCUCAUGCUGUAGUCAAUGAAU